GGCGCACGGGUGAGUAAUACGUGGACAAUCUGCCUUGGAGUUCGGGAUAACCCGUCGAAAGACGGGCUAAUACCGGAUAAGACCACGGGGAGUUCGCUCCCUGAGGGAAAAGAUGGCCUCUGCUCCUGCAAGCUAUCACUCCAUGAGGGGUCCGCGUCCUAUCAGCUGGUUGGUGAGGUAACGGCUCACCAAGGCUAAGACGGGUAGCUGGUCUGAGAGGAUGGUCAGCCAGACUGGGACUGAGACAGGUCAAGNAGCUCAUACGGGAUGCAGCAGUCAGGAAUAUUGCGCAAUGGAGGAAACUCUGACGCAGCGACGCCGCGUGGGUGAUGAAGGCCUUCGGGUCGUAAAGCCCUGUCGGAGGGAAAGAAAGCUCGUUGGCUAAUAUCCAGCGAGCCCUUGACGGUACCCUCAAAGGAAGCACCGGCUAACUCCGUGCCAGCAGCCGCGG
Molecule: ribosomal RNA, 451 nt
Filed under: uncultured bacterium
Lineage: Bacteria
Description: bacterial SSU rRNA
Rfam family: Bacterial small subunit ribosomal RNA
Source: RNAcentral